RNAcentral lists this long non-coding RNA (6117 nucleotides) under Fragaria vesca (wild strawberry). RNAcentral describes it as "long non-coding RNA (FVES_LNC001657)". The record is from RNAcentral. Lineage: Eukaryota; Viridiplantae; Streptophyta; Magnoliopsida; Rosales; Rosaceae.
UUUUUUUUUUUUCCUUUUUUCGAUUGAACGAGAAAUUUAGGUUGAUCUCAUUUAGGUUUAUAUAGUCUUAUUGUUUUAUUAUCUUUCAUGGAAUAACAGUUGCAUUAUUUCCAUAUCAUCACAAUCUUAGUAGAACGAUCAAUGACAUGGCAUCAUUUGGUAUUGUAUUUAGUAUAACUUUUGACAGGACCCACCCCGAAUUUCACCCUGAAAUCCAAGAUAAAUCCUGCGGGGUCCACCUUUAAGGAAAAUUUACCGAAAAUUCGGCAUAACCUUCCUUGAAAAUGGACAACCCUUACCUGAAAAAUUCAACUUAACACUUCUAUAACCAAACAAACCAGCCUCAACACCUGGAGCCUUCCUGCUCCCCAAGAUCAACACAUCUCCCAAUAUAACAAUUACUCAACUCUAAUAAUCCCACAACCAAGAAUAAAGACUAUUAAUUAUUUACUAUUGGACUUUCAGAGCAUAUCUAAAGUUGAACGAAAAACAACGAAUAAAGAAUAUGCGGAAGCAGCCUCUGACUAUACCUCAACUCCAUGUACGCUCGACCUCCUUUAAAACUUAGCCUGCACACUGGGCAUUUGAAACCGAAGGGCCCAAGGAAAAGUAAUAUAAAAACGUUAGAGUGAGUGGAUGAAAAAUUAAACAAAUAACUGAUCGCAACAUAACUAACCAAACUUAAUUACUUUCCCAUUUUCCAAUAAUCAAGAAAUCUGUUGCUUGCAAGUGUUGAUAAAACUUUCAUAAAGAAAAUCCUAAGGAAACGGAUUAGCCCCGCUAGUCAAAUUAAUGACAAAGAUAAAUAAUAACCUUCAUAGAAGAAGGUACCAAAACAAGGGACUAGCCCCGCUAGUCAAAACGACAACAAUAAAUAAGAAACAAAUAUAGCCAUACAAGUGAGCCUCCCAGACUCGGUUGCCUCCUAGGCAAUAGUACUCCCAUACUCCUUACACCUUCAUGUUAUGGUAACAGAGAGGAUGUAGGGCUUGCGUGAUGUCGUCGACUACAUCACAUCACCCGAAGGUGGAAAGGGCUUGAGUAACCCCACUUAAAACGUGGAAGUUACAUCGCCUCAAAAGGCGGAACAACAUGCUAGCAUGAAUAAUAACGAUCCAACAAGUAUGGCAUAAAUAAAGAAACAUAAAUCCAUGUGAGUUUCCCCGAAACUCAUAAUUAAAGCAUAAGUACGAUUCCCAACCGUACUUAAAGAAUUCAAAGAGCAAAGAAACUAAUUAAAUUCAACGACGUGUCCCACACAUUAAAAUGCUCAAUGAAAUAAAUAACUUCAAUGAUUAUCAUCUUUCAAAAACCAGAUAAUAUGCAAAUCAGCAUGAAACCUCAAAUCCGGAAAUCAUAAAGAAAAUCCAAACUCAAAUCUCAAAUAAUUUCCAACAUCAUUUCAUAUACCGAAGUUAUAAUAUAUGCUCGGAAAAUGAAAUACUAAAUUAUAAAAUCUUGCAUGCAUAUAUUUAAUAAAAACCAAAAUGUCCACUCACAGAUUUAGGCCUAAGCCUGACGAAUUUCCGAAUCACCACUCAAGUGGGGUCUCCUCGAAUCCUGGCACAACAACCAUGCUUAGGACCAAACUUCAAUUCCGGAAAAUAAUUACGUGAAUAAAAACAUCUAACUCUCUUCCGUUGAACCCACUACUCUUAAUAGGGUUAAACUCACCGGAUUCACACCAAACUCCACCACAACCUUAAUUCACCAAUUAUAACAUUCCAGGCUAAAUACCAAGGAAAUUCAACGGCCGGAUUUUCAUUCUAAUAACCGGCAAAAUCCUUAAUCUUUUAAAAAUCCCAAACCUUAACAAAACUUCUCCAAAAAUUCCAAACUAUACUUCAUUAGACUCCUCUCAUUAAAACAAACCCAAAAACCUGAAAAUCAACCUCCAAGUGGCGGCGCCGCCGCCUGCUCUGCCGGCAGCGGCGGCCGGCGGCCGUACUCCGACGGCGACCAAUGCCUCCCAAAUUUUGACAGAAUAAUCCUCUCAUCAUGCACAACAACUUCCAUAACUAGCACUUAGUCCAAUUCUAAGCCUAACUAGGGUAAUCGAAUCAAAAUAUCUAAAAAUCCCCCAAUUCAAACCCUAGCCCGAAAAUCCUCCUACACACUUCGAAUUGGAUCAUUACCUUCUAGGGAAAUGUUACACACGGAGAGCACUUCCCAAUGGAACUGAAAUCACUGGAAAUGGUGGCCGGAGGGGCAAGUUCCGGCGUCGGGACUCCACCACGUAGCCGGAGCUUCCGGGCGAGCUCUCUCCCUCACGGUGGCGCUAGGGCAGCUCUCACUGGUCCAGGAAGAAGGCUGGGUCGACGGCCAACCGUUUGGGACCAGUGCGCCGGUCUAUGGUGGCCGGACGGCGGCGGUCGGAGCCGAGGAAUCCGGCGGGUCGGGGUAGGCUCGGGAGAGAGAGAGAGAGAGAGAGAGAGAGAGAGAGAGAGAAGANNNNNNNNNNNNNNNNNNNNGAGAGAGAGAGAGAGAAAAUGAGUUGGGCCUUUUUACCCCAUUUUUGACCCGGUCCACCAUUUAAAAUCCCACUCCAACAAUAAAACACCUCCAAAAAUAAUACCUACUAAAACAAUUAACCUCUCUUUACCAAAUAAAGUCUACUCUUUUUAUCUAAUAACUUUUUCAUGCUAACUCCGAUUUUAACGUUUAGCAUGUCUACGAACUCGUAUUAAGAAAGUUUUCCCAAAUUCCAAACGAAAGAAAAAGUCAACUUUUAAAGUCUUAAAUAGUAAACGGUUACUUAAAACAGUAAAAGGUCAAAGUAACCCAAAAGUAAAUAACCGCAAAUUGACUUGAGAACCGGGAUGUGACAACUUUUUGGUGUCUAAAGCAUUUUCUACCUGAACACAUAGUUAUCUCAAUUCAUCGAUAGCUUCACUCAUCAGACGGCCACAUUGUCGUUGGCCGAUAUAUUUUCUCCACUCAUCAAACGAUGGAAGAAGAAAAAACAUGGUAUGUACGAAAAUUAUAAUUGGCCAAAUCUACCCGUAAACUGAUUAUUCUUAUUAUUUGGUGCAUGAAAUAGAUGUUUUAUCUCGUAUUUAAAAAGGUUUAUUCGUUUGGUUAAUGAAUUUUAGGGAGAGCUUCCAAUGAGGACCUUAUAAUGAGGACCAAGUGAGGACUUUGAAAUGAAUGGUUGGAUAAAAUGCACAUGGGAAUUAGAAAAUAUCAAUUAAAAGUCAAAACCUUGAUCCAACCGUUCAUUUGAAAGUCCUCACUUGAUCCUCAUUAUAAGGUCCUCAUUAGAAGCUCUCCCAUGAAUUUUAUUGGUUACUAUUUUAAGAUGUGAUAUAGCUUCCACAAUUAAACGUAGCCUUCCUUUCCCUGUUGUUGAUUUCACAACCAAGCAAUUUCCCGCUCGGUCGAUCGGUCUGUUUCCGCCGCGUCAUUUUCACAUUUUUCCCAACCACCACAUAUCUGUAAAACCUUACGGAAAAUAAAAACAUUCACCUUUCUGUAACCAACCUACUCGCCAUCGUCAACCCUCCUAUAAACAAACCAGAGCCUACAGAGCAAUCAGAGCUCACACAUUUCCUCGUAUAACCAACUAUAUGGCCGGCCAAAACCCUAAAUAACCCUCAACUCAGUAUCACCACCAUGUCGCCGCCAUGGCCUUCCCUUUCGGCACCCAUGCAGGCCCUCUUCUAAGCCUCGUUCUUCGGCUCGCUGCCGCUAAACCCGACACAAUCUUCUCCUUCAUCACAACUUCUAAAGCCAACAGCUCCCUCUUCUCUCAAACCUCCAAGGCCUCCGCCUUCCUUAACGUUAAGGCCUACGACGUCCCCGAUGGGUUACCAGAGGGUUUCGUGCUCUCCGGCCACUCGGAGCAGCUUAUUGGCUUCUUUCUCAAACCGACCAACUUUAGGAUUGUGAUGAAGGAGGCUGAGGCGGGCUCCGGGCUUAAGAUAGGGUGUCAGGUGACGGAAUCUUUGCCGGAGAUAUGGCGGAGGAGAUGAAGCUUCCCUGGGUUCCACUUUUGGACGGCUGGAUCUCGUUCCCUUCUUGUUCAUGGUGCCACAGACUUGAUACGACAAAGGGUACUUGGAACCGGUGGUAAGGAUCAAUUUGCUAAUUAAUCUAUAGUAGGCCUAAUUAUGGCUCAAAUUAGAGUCCUUUGCGUACUUGAUACUUGAUUUCUAUAUAUAGUCAUGCUAAUGAUUUCUUACUUAGUUUCCUUCUAUGUCCCAUUCAUCAAUCCUUCGUGCUUAGAGUUUGACGACGAAUGGUUUAUGUUUAAAACAAGUAUUAUAUACCUCACAAAGAAUUAUAAACCACCAACGUACGUACGUUGGUCUCCGACAGUCGACGAAGCUAGAGUAUACCACAUUGGUGUAAGAUAUAUUCAAUGGACACUUAGAUAUCACUAUGUAAACUUCACCUUUUCUUGGUAUGACACUGACUGAAUUAGAUAUUGUAGUACAUUAUGGAACUUAAAUGUUUGGUGAGCAUGAAAUUCAGGCAUUUACAAAAGUAUAGCCUUACCAUUGGUCCUUCUCAUCAUUACAUGCAAAAUUAUUUUUGUUUCAGGAAAUGCAGUGAAAACCCUUGAGUUCCUUCCUGGAUUUUCUAAACUUGAGGUUGUUGAUUUACUUGAGGGAGUCGUAUUAGGGAAUUUGGAGUCACCAAUAUCAUCCCUGUUACACAAGAUGGGACAAGAGCUGCCAAAGGCGGCAGCGGUUGCCAUUAACUCAUUCGAAGAAGCAGAACCGGACAUGGUGAACGAGCUCAAAUCAAGAUUCAAGAAGUUUCUCAAUGUUGGACCCUUCAAUCUUGCAUCGGCGUCGCCGCCAUUGCUCGAGGACGACAGCGGUUGCUUGGAGUGGUUGGACAAGCAUAAGCCUGCAUCUGUGGUAUAUAUUAGCUUUGGAAGUGUGGUGAGUCCACCACCUCAUGAGCUACCAACAUUUGCAGAAGCCUUGGCUGAAAGUGGGUUCCCAUUUAUUUGGUCAUUUAGGGGCAACCCAGAUGAGAUAUUGCCCAAUGGGUGUGACAAGAGUAGCCUAAAUGGGAAAAUAGUUUCAUGGGCACCGCAGGUACAAAUUUUAGAGCAUGCUGCGGUUGGAGUUUUUCUGACACAUUGCGGGUGGAACUCCAUUUUGGAGAGUAUAGUUGGUGGUGUGCCUAUGAUGCCCUAUGAUAUGCCGGCCAUUUUUUGGGGAUCAAAACCUGAACAUGAAGACUGUGGAGGUUGUUUGGGGGAUUGGUGUGGGAAUUGAGGGAGGGUCCCUUACAAAACAAGGAGCAAUUAAGGCCUUGGAACUAAUUUUGAGGGGUGAAGCAGGAAAUGAAAUGAGAGAAAAAAUAAAAGUUCAAAGAAGUCUAGCGCGAUCUGCAGUUGAAGGUAAUGGUAGCUCUUCCAAAGCUUUUAAUAGUUUGGUGAACAUAUAGUCACCAAGCAUGAAGAAGUUUGAUAAAACAGGGUGAAUCGUGUUUCCUUUUUUUUUUUUCUUUUUUUUUUUUUCCAAUGCAAAACUUCGGUUUCGAGGUGAAAAUUAAUUUGGAACAUGUAUUAAAAAAAAGAAAAAAAAGAAAAGAAAAGAUUGAAAUAAAGAAUCGUUCAGAUGAAGAUGGACACCAUGUCAUGACAAUGAGUGUGUUGAAGGAUGAGUGUGCAUUAAGAAAAGAACUUGCUUUAUAAUUGAUUGCUAGCUUAUGCAACUAAAGCUAUUUAUUUGAGUUGGGCAUCCGUUCUUCUCUAAGGUUUCUUGCCACUUUCGUAAGUGUUUUUUGUUGUGCUUAAAACACCAAGAAGACACACCAGUACUUACAAAAUUCACACAAUAGCAGCAAAUGCAAAGUAUUCAACUAUAAUCAGUUAAGUACCAAACAAAACACAGCAAUGUAUGAAAAGAAACAACACACAACACUUUUCCCAGUUCAGCAAUUAGCCUACAUCUGGGGAGCAGAUGGAACUACUCAACUUUCACUAUCAAAGAGAAUGAUGAUUUUACAGUUCUAUCACUCUACACAAACAACAGAGAAGCACACAGCUUUUAAUACUCCUCUAUUUUCUCUCAAACAAAACUGCUGCAGUUAUGCAGUUUUUCUUAACUACAUAUUGAGCAGUUAUCACCCAACUCAAAACACCAAAUAACCUCUACA